This 266-nucleotide ribosomal RNA is filed under the name uncultured bacterium. RNAcentral describes it as "partial 16S ribosomal RNA". It matches the Rfam family "Bacterial small subunit ribosomal RNA", at positions 88 to 354 of the family's 1533-position model. The record is from RNAcentral.
UGACUGAGUGGCGGACGGGUGAGUAACGCGUGGGUAACCUGCCCUGUACAGGGGGACAACAGUUAGAAAUGACUGCUAAUACCGCAUAAGCGCACAGGACCGCAUGGUCCGGUGUGAAAAACUCCGGUGGUACAGGAUGGACCCGCGUCUGAUUAGGUAGUUGGCGGGGUAACGGCCCACCAAGCCGACGAUCAGUAGCCGACCUGAGAGGGUGACCGGCCACAUUGGGACUGAGACACGGCCCAAACUCCUACGGAAGGCAGCAG